Fukomys damarensis (Damara mole-rat) is the source of this 516-nucleotide long non-coding RNA. RefSeq lists it as uncharacterized. Lineage: Eukaryota; Metazoa; Chordata; Mammalia; Rodentia; Bathyergidae. The transcript is spliced from 4 exons. The record is from RefSeq and is a predicted model, not a curated record.
AUAUAAUCCAGCGACUGCUGGACUUCUGAAUAGAAGAGUCACUCCAGGAAGUCGAAAGUGCAGACCAGCAAGUAGAGCAUCCUGGCAUGUGAGCUGAUGUAGGCAAGUGGCAAAGCUUGUAGGACAAUCUAAGGCCGAGCCUGGGUGAAGACAUAGCUUCCCAGGGUAUCCAGUGGGAGACAUUAUGGACCUCAAGCAGGAAGCUACACUUCGAAUUGUAUGAUGCUAACAGCCUCUGUGGCAUCCACUUCUAGACACUGAGAGCAACCUUACCCCGCGUGAAAACCGCAUGUAUCUCAGACUCUGUGUUUUAGGUGAUUAAAUGACACAAGAACAAGGAGUUUCAAGAAACCAAAUUUGCUUGCUAAAUCCACCAACUCUCCAGAUGGGAAAAACAGAAAUGAACAGCUUCCACAUAAAACAUGCAGAAGAAAGGGCAAAAGAAAUUUAAAUUCAUCAUCUGAAAUGUUUUAACACAUUAAAGUUUUUAACCCAUACAGGCACAUAAAAUGAGAU